RNAcentral lists this ribosomal RNA (253 nucleotides) under uncultured bacterium. Its description in RNAcentral is "partial 16S ribosomal RNA". It matches the Rfam family "Bacterial small subunit ribosomal RNA", at positions 524 to 776 of the family's 1533-position model. The record is from RNAcentral.
UACGUAGGUGUCAAGCGUUGUCCGGAUUUAUUGGGCGUAAAGCGCCCGCAGGCGGCUUGCCAAGUUCGAUGUGAAAUCUCCCGGCUCAACUGGGAGGGUGCAUCGAAAACUGGCAGGCUUGAGGCAGGGAGAGGGAUGUGGAAUUCCAGGUGUAGUGGUGAAAUGCGUAGAUAUCUGGAGGAACACCGGUGGCGAAGGCGGCAUCCUGGACCGGCAUUGACGCUGAGGCGCGAAAGCUAGGGGAGCAAACGGG